RNAcentral lists this ribosomal RNA (253 nucleotides) under uncultured bacterium. RNAcentral describes it as "partial 16S ribosomal RNA". It matches the Rfam family "Bacterial small subunit ribosomal RNA", at positions 524 to 776 of the family's 1533-position model. The record is from RNAcentral.
CACGUAGGGGACGAGCGUUGUCCGGAUUCAUUGGGCGUAAAGCGCGCGUAGGCGGCUCGGUAAGUCGGUCGUGAAAUGCCGGGGCUCAACCCCGGGACUGCGUCCGAUACUUCCGGGCUGGAGGUAGGUAGGGGAGAUCGGAAUUCCUGGUGUAGCGGUGAAAUGCGCAGAUAUCAGGAGGAACACCGGUGGCGAAGGCGGAUCUCUGGGCCUUACCUGACGCUCAGGUGCGAAAGCUAGGGGAGCGAACAGG